GAUGAACGCUGGCGGCGUGCCUAAUACAUGCAAGUCGAGCGAACGGACGAGAAGCUUGCUCCUCUGACGUUAGCGGCGGACGGGUGAGUAACACGUGGAUAACCUACCUAUAAGACUGGGAUAACUUCGGGAAACCGGAGCUAAUACCGGAUAAUAUAUUGAACCGCAUGGUUCAAUAGUGAAAGACGGUUUUGCUGUCACUUAUAGAUGGAUCCGCGCCGCAUUAGCUAGUUGGUAAGGUAACGGCUUACCAAGGCAACGAUGCGUAGCCGACCUGAGAGGGUGAUCGGCCACACUGGAACUGAGACACGGUCCAGACUCCUACGGGAGGCAGCAGUAGGGAAUCUUCCGCAAUGGGCGAAAGCUUGACGGAGCAACGCCGCGUGAGUGAUGAAGGUCUUCGGAUCGUAAAACUCUGUUAUUAGGGAAGAACAAAUGUGUAAGUAACUAUGCACGUCUUGACGGUACCUAAUCAGAAAGCCACGGCUAACUACGUG
RNAcentral lists this ribosomal RNA (497 nucleotides) under uncultured bacterium. Its description in RNAcentral is "partial 16S ribosomal RNA". It matches the Rfam family "Bacterial small subunit ribosomal RNA", at positions 28 to 507 of the family's 1533-position model. The record is from RNAcentral.